AGCAUGCCGCGGUGAAUACGUUCCCGGGCCUUGUACACACCGCCCGUCACACCAUGGAAGUUGGUAACACCCGAAGCCUGUAGCCUAACCGCAAGGAGGGCGCAGUCGAAGGUGGGAUUGAUGACUGGGGUGAAGUCGUAACAAGGUACC
This 150-nucleotide ribosomal RNA is filed under the name uncultured bacterium. RNAcentral describes it as "partial 16S ribosomal RNA". It matches the Rfam family "Bacterial small subunit ribosomal RNA", at positions 1351 to 1500 of the family's 1533-position model. The record is from RNAcentral.